UGUCCUCUCCUCCUCCUCUGCUCCCUCAGCAUUUGUGAGAAAGUGGCACUGGAGAUGAAGCUUGGUUUUGUGUAAUGCUGGGUUCUCUUUUUGUCCUGAAUACUUCCAAGGAAAUCCAGCCACAGAGCUAGAGUUGGAAACCUGAAGCUAGUGAGGGGAAAGAAGGGGUAAUGGGUAGAGGGAGCACCAGGCACUCGCAGCCACUGCGUCCCCUCCCAGCUGCCCUCCCAGUGCCUUGCAGGGACUGUCCAGCAGGAGUAUGGCUUUCACCUUUAAAAAGCCAAGCCUGAGAAAUCCAAACUUAGGACAAACCAAAAUGAGGACAAAGGGAUUCACAGGAUGUGUAAAUAGAUUCUUUGCUAAAGACCUGCUGGCACCCAUCUGGUGUGUAAAAGGGCACCCUUGGGUGUGGGGAUGCAGGGUAACUGGAGGUGAGUUCUUCAACAUGAAAGCCCUUCAGUAGACUCACAGUGAUAUAACCAUCCUGAGCUUUGCCGAGAUGGGCAAUAGGCCCAAAAUGUAGGACCUUUCCCCAGGGAAGAAAUUUCUCAGGUUCCACUGUCUGUAAGGAUUCUAACCUCUCCCUCUAGGAAGUCACGGCAAAUCAGAGGUAAAAAUUCCCAGCUGAUCACUGGACUCCUCCCUCUCCUUCCAUUCCUUGGCGCUCCUGAGUGUUGGGGAGGGUUUUAGGAGCCAGUUCCCCACCCCCCAGCACCUCCUCUUCAGUUACAACACACAAAAAUGGUCAUUUUAGGGUCACAGGUCUUUGCACAAAAAGAAGUUUUGGGAACAGUAGUUUUCAUUCAAAAUGUUAAUCCAUGAGGGAUUAAGAACAACCUCACUUUAUGAGACCAGAAUGUUUAAACAGAGUCAGUGUUCUAGAAACUUAGCAAAGUGAUGUAAGACAUGAAACAAAAUGAUACGUCUGUCUUUUUUCCUUCCUGGGCAAGGUGCAUCUCAGCACUGGUGUCCUGCGGCUUUGCGGAUCUGCAUGGUGAGUGUGCUUUGACUAUUAUUUCUGUGUAAGAAAAAUGGAUGAACAAUUCCAGCUCCUUCUUGUUGCCUGCCGUCAGGAGACCGUUCACAAUCCGGCACUACCCAGAGAGGGUCCGAGAAUCUCCUUCCACAGCAGCCAUGCCCCCCUGCACUUCGAGGUGCCAACACUCCCCACAUGCUCCACGCAGAACCCCCGGCCCUCCACUCCAUGGCCACCAAGUCUCCAUGUCUCCCCAGAGCACAGGCCUUCAGGGAUCAUUCCAGGGCCCCUGUCAUAAUUCACUCAACAAUUCCCUUUAAAGCAACUUAAAUCUUAUCCCGCCUUCUUUACCUUUGUCCUGAACAAUCACUGCUGUGAAAUCGCUAGUUUGACAGGCCCUUCAGGAGGAGGGGAGUGUCUCCUUGACCACAGGAGCACCUGGUUACAGCCGGCAUCCUGGUAACCAUCGCCAGGGACUGGGAGUGCUUCUGGGAACAGCAGCAGCCAGCAGGCGGGGGCAGAUCCUCUCUGCUAUAUUUACAGAAGCCAAGAAUGAAAAGGCUUUAGGUUAGAAUGCCUCCAUGCAGUAUCUACAUCUGAAAGGCAGCCAUUCAGCCGGAAGAAAUGACUGGCAGUUCAGCCCCAGGCCGGCCAGACCUCCCACAGACUUUUCUUGUUUGGUGAAGCCGGUAUGAAUGGUUUCUUUGCAGGAGCAGCUGCCUGGGUUCCAAGAAAGAAUGAAAGGGAUGGGGAGAGACAGAGAGAGAGAGAAACAUCGAUGUGAGACAC
Long non-coding RNA from Myotis lucifugus (little brown bat), 1765 nucleotides. RefSeq lists it as uncharacterized. The transcript is spliced from 5 exons. Lineage: Eukaryota; Metazoa; Chordata; Mammalia; Chiroptera; Vespertilionidae. The record is from RefSeq and is a predicted model, not a curated record.